Molecule: ribosomal RNA, 377 nt
Filed under: uncultured Planctomycetales bacterium
Lineage: Bacteria; Pseudomonadati; Planctomycetota; Planctomycetia; Planctomycetales
Description: bacterial SSU rRNA
Rfam family: Bacterial small subunit ribosomal RNA
Source: RNAcentral
GGAUUAGGCAUGCAAGUCGAACGAGGGAGUGUUCCGAAAGGGGCACAAACCGAGUGGCGUAAGGGUGAGUAAUGCAUUGAUAACCUACCUCCAAGAUGGGAAUAACAACGUUCCAAGCAAUUGGGGCUACCGAAAGGGUUGCUAAUACUCAAUAAAAUUAUUGUUGCUUCGGCAAUAAUAGUCAAAUAGGAGGAAUCGAAAGGUUUCGCUUGCUUGAAGAGGGGUCAAUGUCCUAUCAGCUAGUUGGUGGGGUAAUAGCCUACCAAGGCGAAGACGGGUAGCCGGCCUGAGAGGGUGGUCGGCCACACUGGGACUGAGAUACUGCCCAGACUCCUACGGGAGGCUGCAGUCGAGAAUCUUUCGCAAUGCCCGAAAGG